CCCCUCUCAGGGUCGCACCUGGAGAGUUUCCAGUACUCUACCUGUCUCGGCUACAGGAGGGAGAGUCUGGCAGAGGCAUACCCAUUCCAUUUCGAGCUUGGCCAGCGGCUAGUGAGUAGAAGGCAAUCUGCUGCAAGU
Small nucleolar RNA from Tachyglossus aculeatus (Australian echidna), 138 nucleotides. The record is from RefSeq and is a predicted model, not a curated record. NCBI's taxonomy places the organism in Eukaryota, Metazoa, Chordata, Mammalia, Monotremata, Tachyglossidae.